GAUAAACGCUGGCGGCGUGCCUGAGACAUGCAAGUCGAACGAAGGAUCGGGCUUGCUCGAUCCUUAGUGGCGGACGGCUGAGUAACGCGUAGGUGACCUACCCCGAAGUGGGGAAUAACUGCCCGAAAGGGUGGCUAAUACCGCAUGUGGUCGCACGUUCAUUCGUGCGAGUAAAGCCGCAAGGCGCUUCGGGAGGGGCCUGCGUCCGAUUAGCUCGUUGGUGGGGUAAUGGCUUACCAAGGCGACGAUCGGUAGGUGGUCUGAGAGGACGAUCACCCAGACUGGGACUGAGACACGGCCCAGACUCCUACGGGAGGCAGCAGUCGGGAAUUUUGCUCAAUGGGGGAAACCCUGAAGCAGCAACGCCGCGUGAGGGAUGAAGGCCUUCGGGUUGUAAACCUCUUUUGUCAGGGACGAUGAUGACGGUACCUGGCGAAUAAGCCACGGCUAACUACGUG
Molecule: ribosomal RNA, 458 nt
Filed under: uncultured bacterium
Lineage: Bacteria
Description: partial 16S ribosomal RNA
Rfam family: Bacterial small subunit ribosomal RNA
Source: RNAcentral